AUUGAACGCUGGCGGAAUGCUUUACACAUGCAAGUCGAACGGCAGCACGGACUUCGGUCUGGUGGCGAGUGGCGAACGGGUGAGUAAUACAUCGGAACGUGCCCAGUCGUGGGGGAUAACGUAGCGAAAGCUACGCUAAUACCGCAUACGAUCUAAGGAUGAAAGCGGGGGAUCGCAAGACCUCGCGCGAUUGGAGCGGCCGAAGGCAGAUUAGGUAGUUGGUAGGGUAAAAGCCUACCAAGCCGACGAUCUGUAGCUGGUCUGAGAGGAUGAUCAGCCACACUGGGACUGAGACACGGCCCAGACUCCUACGGGAGGCAGCAGUGGGGAAUUUUGGACAAUGGGCGCAAGCCUGAUCCAGCCAUUCCGCGUGCAGGAUGAAGGCCUUCGGGUUGUAAACUGCUUUUGUACAGAACGAAAAGGCUCUGGUUAAUACCCGGGGCUCAUGACGGUACUGUAAGAAUAAGCACCGGCUAACUACGUGCCAGCCGCCGCCGUAA
This 500-nucleotide ribosomal RNA is filed under the name uncultured bacterium. RNAcentral's name for it is "partial 16S ribosomal RNA". It matches the Rfam family "Bacterial small subunit ribosomal RNA", at positions 30 to 523 of the family's 1533-position model. The record is from RNAcentral.